GGGGGAGGCAGUCUCCACCAUUCCUCCUCUGCCCAGGCCCUGACAAAUGGUGAUCUAGGAUCUACUGAGAGGCAAAGACUUCUCCACAUCAACUGCGUUCUAUGUUUUCUGCAUAAUCCUGAAGACACGUCACUUGACCUUGACCUUGUUAAGGCAAAUAGUUUUCUGUUGCUUCCAUGCAAUGCUUCUGGUAGUGAGAUCAGAAUGUUCCCUCUCUUGUAAUCCUUCUCACCCACCUUCUUGGUUGGACAUGGUUCCUUCCGCACAAGGAUCACAACCAUAGCAGCAAACAGGCUUUCCUUCUGGAACCACCUUUGCAAAUCCAGGCUGACAUAUUUUGCUACACCUGGAACGAGGCACGGCCUAACCAUGAAGAUAAGAAGGUGCAUGGAAAAUCAAUAAAAUUAUAGGGGGUGGGAGAAGAUGCAUUGUGGAGAAAGUGUUAGGGGUAUUUGUGUGUCUGGAUUUCACCCACAUAGUUUGGUAAUCACCCAACAGGAUCUCUUGUCCCCCUGACCUCGUCCACUUUCUGCAUAGAAGCAGCAUUCUCCAGCCCCGACCCUGAGGUCCAGCUCCGAGGGCCUUCUGACGGUUCCCUCCCUGGGAGAAGUGAGGUUACAAGGAACCAGGCAGAGGGCCUUCUCACUGGUGGCGACUUCCAUGUGGAACAACCUCCCAUCAGAUGUCAGGGAAAUAAAUAACUAGCUGACAUUUAGAAGGCAGCUUGGUACAGAGAAGUAUUAAAUAUCUGAGGUUUUAUUGUACCAAUUGGUUUUGCCAAACUUAGGAUUCUCCCACAUGUCAAAUCUCAGGGUGCACAUGCCUGAGUGUAAGUUUGGGGAGUUACAAAAAACCAGCCUCCUUUGAUGCUGGGGUGUGUGGAAGGUGUGGGAAGGAGAGAGAAAGAGAGAGAAGAGAAGAAGAGAAGAGAAGAGAAGAGAAGAGAAGAGAAGAGAAGAGAAGAGAAGAGAAGAGAAGAGAAGAGAAGAGAAGAGAAGAGGGCAGCUGAAACUGGGUGGAAAGGACACCAUUGGUCCCCCUUAUAAGGUCAUUUGGCAAAAGAGGCUCCAGGAAGAGCAUGAGCAGGAUCUCCUAGCCUUCUUCCUCAGUAACAUCCCCUACCUUGUGAAACUUCUCAGGCCACUCAAUGGCUUCUGGGUUGAUGGUGAACUUGAUGCCAGUAGAUGCCUCUCUACUUGUACUGCCAAUCUUCACCAAAGCAUGAGACUCAUUGGGAAACAUCACCCAAUUCAUGAUAUCAAAGUCAGGAGGCAGCUCCCAAUUCUCAUCCAAACACAUUGUGCCCCUGGAAGUAUUCAAACACUGGAUUUCUUUUAAGAAAGGGUGGAGCUGGAAUGACAGGGAAAACAGCAGUAUUUUAUUGUUCCUCACUUGAAGCAAGCGACUUUCCAAAAUAACAUUAAUACAAAUAAUAAAUAAGAUUAAUACAAAAGUCAAUACAAUCUUCUUCUUUUUUUAAGAACCAAAAUGCCUAACAGAGACAUCGGUCUGCUGGAACUAGCUGAGAGAACAUCAUUUCCACAGGUGAUGUCAUGAAUGAGCCAACUGAAGAAAGCAGCCAGGAAGAGAGAGAGUUAACUGCCAUGCAGGAUGAGCAUCGGCUAAUGCCUACUCUUCCACCCCCUUGGAAUGCCGGCUGACGAGGGAAUGGCGGAGAACGUAGUCAGGAACGUAGUCAAAGCUCGCCAGAAGCACAAACCGGCAGGAAAGAGUUAAGGGACAGCCUCUCAGAGAAUGAGGAAGAGGAGGGAGUUGACUCACUCUCUCCAAGGUCUCGACAAAUGGGAAGGCUUCAAGAUAAGAAGGAAAACAAAAGAUGUAUGAAGUGAAAGUUCAGUUGCUUCUGGUCGCGCUGGAAGCAUUCUUCAGAAGGGUCAUCUUGACUGAUGAUGGAGGCUGUGUUAGAGCCAGCUGGAGUUACCUGUUUGUUUUGACAAUAAAUCAUCCUUUUUAAUUAACUACGCUCACUGUGUUAUCAAGCCGGGGACUGGAUUCCUGACUGGUGACCUCUUUAUUUCUAGUGAAGAUUGAUCAUAUCAGAAGAAUUUUUAUUUGCAUCAACCACAAGUCAUAGCAAUAAAAUUGUCAGCAUCGCCCUUGAGUCAGUGCCACCAACUGGACUCACACACUUCAGCCCUGACUGGGCCAGGUGAGCUGGGUAGCACUUCCAGAGACCACCUUCUGCACAGGAACAGGUCAAAGUGCUGUGGACUCACAGCUUAGGGUUGUGAGCACCAGAUUCACUUCCACAAGAAGACAGUCGUCGCACAGCAGAGUACAGCAGAGCAUAAACGACUCGGAGAGCAGCUCUGUAGAAUAUCUUCUUUAUUCUGUCUACAACUAUAAUACACAACUAUGUACAGAGCUAAAUGAGGUCUAAACGAAAAUGCUGAACUGCACUGAGUGUCUGCAGCUGCUCUUAGCAGCAACCUUAUCUAUACACACGAUCUCUCUCUAACACUCAGUCUCUCUCUCUCUUUGAUAUGAGGCUGGAGCGAAAUAAGUAGAGAGCAGAAACCGCCCCCUCCUCUCUUGAGAGUCAGCAGAGAACAUCAGCAGAUUCUUGGAUAUGGGAGGGGUGAAAUCUCCUCAAAAAUAUGGUACAUGACCCCAGUCAAGUUUGCAAAAAUCUAUCAUUUGCCCGAUAAUAAAUGUUGGAAAUGCAAAGAAACUGAAGGUACAUUCUUUCACCUUUGGUGGACGUGCCCAAGGAUUAAGGCUUUCUGGGAGAUGAUUUAUAAUGAAAUAAAAAAGGUACUGUAUUUAAAUAUACCUUUCUGAAGAAACCAGAGGCCUUUCUUCUGGGCAUUGUCGGCCAAUUGGUGCCAAAGAAGGACAGAACUUUUUUUAUGUAUGCUACAACAGCAGCAAGAAUACUCAUCGCAAAGUAUUGGAAGACACAAGAUCUACCCACUUUGGAAGAAUGGCAGAUGAAGGUGAUUGACUACAUGGAAUUGGCGGAAAUGACUGGCAGAAUCCGAGACCAGGGAGAAGAGUCGGUGAAAGAAGACUGGAAGAAAUUUAAAGACUAUUUACAGAAAUAUUGUAAAAUUAAGGAAUCUUAGAAGAAUGUUGGAUAGAAACUAAGUGGUUUUUAGCUGUAAUUCUUUAAGAGAUAUGAAAAAAGGUUUACAAAUGGGUAAAAGCUUAAUGGUAAGGAUUUGCUGAACUAACAAACUGAACUGGAAUACAAAAAAGGGAGGUACGAGGAGGUCCGGGGAAAUAAGUGUAAGGAAGAUAGGUUAUGGAAAAUUAAUGUCUCUUUAACUGUUUUAUUUUGUAUGUUUCUUUUUAUUUUUUACUUUUUUGUUAUUUUUUAAAAAACUUUAUUCUUUUUUCUGUAUUCUGUAUUUCUUGUAUUUUUUGAAACUUUAAUAAAUAUCAUUUUUU
Podarcis lilfordi (Lilford's wall lizard) is the source of this 3411-nucleotide non-coding RNA. The record is from the annotation of a GenBank genome assembly. NCBI's taxonomy places the organism in Eukaryota, Metazoa, Chordata, Lepidosauria, Squamata, Lacertidae.